UGCUCUGGCAGCGACGACGUGGCCGACCAGUCUCUUCAGUUGUCGGCACGAGCGAUCUUUCUCCUCGGCCGAUGUCGGUUUCCUGUGCUGGAUACCCUUUGCGAAGGCAUUGCAUUCGGCUAAGCUGUCCAAAUUCCGACACGCAUCAAUGCGCCUCRCGGCGCAUGCGGUGCGGACGGACCUCGGAGCAUCUUCCGUGGCAUCCCGAUCCGUGUGCUCCCGAAUGGGUUCCCGGCUCGACGAUCCACGGUGGCCUGCUCGAUCUCUCGGAUGCGGAACACCCGUGGGUAUGAGGCGACGUCCUCUUAAUGUCCCGAAAGAAAAGCUUCUUGCGAACGACGGUCGUUCCGGUCUCGAUCCCUUGCCCCCGUGGCAUCGGUCGUGCCGGGACGACGUCGGUGAGGAAUGCUACCUGGUUGAUCCU
This 424-nucleotide unclassified non-coding RNA is filed under the name Scutellaria shweliensis. RNAcentral describes it as "partial contains external transcribed spacer and 18S ribosomal RNA". Lineage: Eukaryota; Viridiplantae; Streptophyta; Magnoliopsida; Lamiales; Lamiaceae. The record is from RNAcentral.